Molecule: ribosomal RNA, 387 nt
Filed under: uncultured bacterium
Lineage: Bacteria
Description: bacterial SSU rRNA
Rfam family: Bacterial small subunit ribosomal RNA
Source: RNAcentral
AUGCAAGUCGAACGAGAAUCACUGGAAGGAGUUUUCGGACAACGGAAGGUGAGGACAGUGGCGGACGGGUGAGUAACGCGUGAGGAACCUGCCUUUCAGAGGGGGACAACAGUUGGAAACGACUGCUAAUACCGCAUGACACAUAGAGAUCGCAUGGUUUUUAUGUCAAAGAUUUAUCGCUGAAAGAUGGCCUCGCGUCUGAUUAGCUAGUUGGUGAGGUAACGGCCCACCAAGGCGACGAUCAGUAGCCGGACUGAGAGGUUGACCGGCCACAUUGGGACUGAGAUACGGCCCAGACUCCUACGGGAGGCAGCAGUGGGGAAUAUUGGGAAUGGGCGCAGCCUGACCCGCAACGCCGCGUGAAGGAAGAAGGCUUUCGGGUUGUAA